GAUGAACGCUGGCGGCGUGCCUAAUACAUGCAAGUCGAGCGAACAGACGAGGAGCUUGCUCCUCUGACGUUAGCGGCGGACGGGUGAGUAACACGUGGAUAACCUACCUAUAAGACUGGGAUAACUUCGGGAAACCGGAGCUAAUACCGGAUAAUAUAUUGAACCGCAUGGUUCAAUAGUGAAAGACGGUUUUGCUGUGACUUAUAGAUGGAUCCGCGCCGCAUUAGCUAGUUGGUAAGGUAACGGCUUACCAAGGCAACGAUGCGUAGCCGACCUGAGAGGGUGAUCGGCCACACUGGAAAUGAGACACGGUCCAGACUCCUACGGGAGGCAGCAGUAGGGAAUCUUGCGCAAUGGGCGAAAGCCUGACGGAGCAACGCCGCGUGAGUGAUGAAGGUCUUCGGAUCGUAAAACUCUGUUAUUAGGGAAGAACAAAUGUGUAAGUAACUAUGCACGUCUUGACGGUACCUAAUCAGAAAGCCACGGCUAACUACGUG
Molecule: ribosomal RNA, 497 nt
Filed under: uncultured bacterium
Lineage: Bacteria
Description: partial 16S ribosomal RNA
Rfam family: Bacterial small subunit ribosomal RNA
Source: RNAcentral